CAGGGAGACAACAAAAUGUUUAAUAUUAUUAUUUUGUCACCUUAGGUCGAUCGGUAUCUCACGUUUUUAAUUUAUUAAGAAUUUCAUUUCCUAAGUUUUUCUAGGUCACACCCAUUAUUUUCCUGGGCCAUUAGCUCAGGUGGUUAGAGCGCACCCCUGAUAAGGGUGAGGUCCCUGGUUCAAGUCCAGGAUGGCCCAUAUCUCUAUGUUGGGGGUAUAGCUCAGUUGGUAGAGCGCCUGCUUUGCAAGCAGGAUGUCAGCGGUUCGAGUCCGCUUACCUCCACUGAUUACCACCUCUUACAUAACUGGUAGAAAGGAAAUGUUUUGAGUUGUGAUCAAAUUCUGAAAGAAUCUAGCUUCCUAAUGAAAUCAUUAAGAUGCUGGACUCAUUGAAUUAAUUUCAUUGUUUUCAGAGAACCUUGACAACUGCAUAGAUUAUUUUUAAAGACAAUAAGCAUCUUUAAUGAUGCAGAUUUAUUAUUUGUGCGAAUGCAUUAAUAACAAUUCUAUUAAGCUGAUGCUUCAAUUUUUGAAGUUAUU
This 540-nucleotide transfer RNA is filed under the name uncultured cyanobacterium. RNAcentral describes it as "partial 16S-23S ribosomal RNA intergenic spacer". The stretch from base 211 to 283 matches the Rfam family "tRNA". The record is from RNAcentral. Lineage: Bacteria; Bacillati; Cyanobacteriota.